GAUAAACGCUGGCGGCGCACAUAAGACAUGCAAGUCGAACGGACUUAACCAUUAGUUUACUAUUGGAGCGGUUAGUGGCGGACUGGUGAGUAACACGUAAGCAACCUGCCUGUUAGAGGGGAACAACAGUUAGAAAUGACUGCUAAUACCGCAUAUGCCAUAGUGAGGACAUCCUUACAGUGGGAAAGGAGAAAUCCGCUAACAGAUGGGCUUGCGUCUGAUUAGCUAGUUGGUGGGGUAAUGGCCUACCAAGGCAACGAUCAGUAGCCGGACUGAGAGGUUGAACGGCCACAUUGGGACUGAGAUACGGCCCAG
Molecule: ribosomal RNA, 315 nt
Filed under: uncultured bacterium
Lineage: Bacteria
Description: bacterial SSU rRNA
Rfam family: Bacterial small subunit ribosomal RNA
Source: RNAcentral